GUGAACGCUGGCGGUCGGCCUAACCCAUGCAAGUCGAACGGCAGCACAGUAAGAGCUUGCUCUUACGGGUGGCGAGUGGCGGACGGGUGCGGAAUACAUCGGAAUCUACUUUUUCGUGGGGGAUAACGUAGGGAAACUUACGCUAAUACCGCAUACGACCUACGGGUGAAAGCAGGGGAUCUUCGGACCUUGCGCGAUUGAAUGAGCCGAUGUCGGAUUAGCUAGUUGGCGGGGUAAAGGCCCACCAAGGCGACGAUCCGUAGCUGGUCUGAGAGGAUGAUCAGCCACACUGGAACUGAGACACGGUCCAGACUCCUACGGGAGGCAGCAGUGGGGAAUAUUGGACAAUGGGCGCAAGCCUGAUCCAGCCAUACCGCGUGGGUGAAGAAGGCCUUCGGGUUGUAAAGCCCUUUUGUUGGGAAAGAAAAGCAGCAGGUUAAUACCCCGCUGUUCUGACGGUACCCAAAGAAUAAGCACCGGCUAACUUCGUG
Molecule: ribosomal RNA, 491 nt
Filed under: uncultured bacterium
Lineage: Bacteria
Description: partial 16S ribosomal RNA
Rfam family: Bacterial small subunit ribosomal RNA
Source: RNAcentral